Molecule: transfer RNA, 70 nt
Filed under: Marmota monax (woodchuck)
Lineage: Eukaryota; Metazoa; Chordata; Mammalia; Rodentia; Sciuridae
Description: tRNA.Ala
Rfam family: tRNA (bases 5-65)
About the family: Transfer RNA (tRNA) molecules are approximately 80 nucleotides in length. Their secondary structure includes four short double-helical elements and three loops (D, anti-codon, and T loops). Further hydrogen bonds mediate the characteristic L-shaped molecular structure. tRNAs have two regions of fundamental functional importance: the anti-codon, which is responsible for specific mRNA codon recognition, and the 3' end, to which the tRNAs corresponding amino acid is attached (by aminoacyl-tRNA synthetases). tRNAs cope with the degeneracy of the genetic code in two manners: having more than one tRNA (with a specific anti-codon) for a particular amino acid; and 'wobble' base-pairing, i.e. permitting non-standard base-pairing at the 3rd anti-codon position.
Source: RNAcentral
GGGCUGGGGCUCAGUGGUAGAGCACUUGCCUGGCAUGUGUGAGGCACUGGGUUCAAUUCUCAGCACCACA